AUUGAACGCUGGCGGAAUGCUUUACACAUGCAAGUCGAACGGCAGCACGGGGGCAGCCCUGGUGGCGAGUGGCGAACGGGUGAGUAAUACAUCGGAACGUGCCCGGUCGUGGGGGAUAACGUAGCGAAAGUUACGCUAAUACCGCAUACGAUCUGAGGGUGAAAGCGGGGGACCUUCGGGCCUCGCGCGAUCGGAGCGGCCGAUGUCAGAUUAGGUAGUUGGUGGGGUAAAGGCCUACCAAGCCGACGAUCUGUAGCUGGUCUGAGAGGACGACCAGCCACACUGGGACUGAGACACGGCCCAGACUCCUACGGGAGGCAGCAGUGGGGAAUUUUGGACAAUGGGCGCAAGCCUGAUCCAGCCAUUCCGCGUGCAGGACGAAGGCCUUCGGGUUGUAAACUGCUUUUGUACGGAACGAUAAGGCUCUGGCUAAUACCUGGGGCUCAUGACGGUACCGUAAGAAUAAGCACCGGCUAACUACGUG
This 484-nucleotide ribosomal RNA is filed under the name uncultured bacterium. RNAcentral describes it as "partial 16S ribosomal RNA". It matches the Rfam family "Bacterial small subunit ribosomal RNA", at positions 30 to 507 of the family's 1533-position model. The record is from RNAcentral.